CUCUUCUUGAAUAUAUUAUGAUGUAUGGCCUGCCCACUGAGUGUUGAAGGGCCGCGGUAUUUUGACCGUGCAAAGGUAGCAUAAUCAUUAGUCUUUUAAUUGUAGGCUGGAAUGAAUGGUUUGACGAGGUGUAAACUGUCUUUAAUUUAUUUGUUGAAUUUAAAUUUUAGGUUAAAAUGCCUAAAUUUUUUUUUGGGACGAGAAGACCCUAUAGAGUUUUAUAUGUUUUUAUUUUUUUUGUGUGAUAAUUUUAAAUUUAAUAAUUUAUUUUGUUGGGGUGAUGGAAAGAUUUAAUUAACUCUUUUUAUUUUUUUAUAUUUAUUUAUAUGUAUUUGAUCCAUUUUUGUUGAUUAUAAGGCUAAAUUACC
Molecule: ribosomal RNA, 368 nt
Filed under: Cryptocercus changbaiensis
Lineage: Eukaryota; Metazoa; Arthropoda; Insecta; Blattodea; Cryptocercidae
Description: partial 16S large subunit ribosomal RNA
Source: RNAcentral